UAAAUUGUUCAUUAAUUGUGAACUAGAAUGAAGGAAAAUAUGGUUUAAAUCUAUCUUAAAAUCUAUAUAUUGAAUUUGAAUUUUUUGUAAAAAUGCAAAAAUAUUUCUUAGGGACAAGAAGACCCUAUAAAGCUUGUUUGAUUUUAUUAUUAGUAAAUAAUACAAUCAAUUUUAUUGGGGCAAUUAUUUAUGUAUAAAGGAUAUAAAUUAAAAUGAAGUAAUAAUAUAUUAAUAGAAUGAUCCAUUAUUAAUGAUAAAAUGAAUAAGUUACUUUAGGGAUAACAGGAUAAUUUUUAUUAGAAAGUUCUUAUUAAUAAUAAAGUUUAUUACCUCGAUGUUGAAUUAAUUUAAUUAAAUGGUGAAGUAACUUUUUGAGUCUGACUGUUCGUCAAUUAAAUAAUUACAUGAUCUGAGUUC
This 417-nucleotide ribosomal RNA is filed under the name Aoraki denticulata. RNAcentral describes it as "partial 16S ribosomal RNA". The stretch from base 278 to 417 matches the Rfam family "Bacterial large subunit ribosomal RNA", at positions 2473 to 2612 of the family's 2925-position model. Lineage: Eukaryota; Metazoa; Arthropoda; Arachnida; Opiliones; Pettalidae. The record is from RNAcentral.